CCUACGGGGGGCAGCAGUGAGGAAUAUUGGUCAAUGGACGAGAGUCUGAACCAGCCAAGUAGCGUGAAGGAUGACUGCCCUAUGGGUUGUAAACUUCUUUUAUAAAGGAAUAAAACGAGGCACGUGUGCCUUUUUGCAUGUACUUUAUGAAUAAGGAUCGGCGAACUCCGUGCCAGCAGCCGCGGUAAUACGGAGGAUCCGAGCGUUAUCCGGAUUUAUUGGGUUUAAAGGGAGCGUAGAUGGGUUGUUAAGUCAGUUGUGAAAGUUUGCGGCUCAACCGUAAAAUUGCAAUUGAUACUGGCAGUCGUGAGUACAGUUGAGGUAGGCGGAAUUCGUGGUGUAGCGGUGAAAUGCUUAGAUAUCACGAAGAACCCCGAUUGCGAAGGCAGCUUACUAAACUGUGACUGACAUUGAUGCUCGAAAGUGUGGGUAUCAAACAGGAUUAGAUACCCGGGUAGUC
Molecule: ribosomal RNA, 460 nt
Filed under: uncultured bacterium
Lineage: Bacteria
Description: partial 16S ribosomal RNA
Rfam family: Bacterial small subunit ribosomal RNA
Source: RNAcentral